CCAAUAAGUCCUCAUUGCUUAUCUAGUUUAUGUAUAAUAGUGUAUGUCUUUUCAUCUCACACUCCUAAUUUAUCCCUCCCCGACUCCCUUUCCCCUUUGGUAGCCAUAAGUUUGUUUUCUGUGUCUGUCUGUUGCUUAAUUUUACAUUUACCUUUCUGCUUUCUUGCAGACAGAUGAGUGGAGUCGACAGCAAGAACACCAAGAAUGUGCUUCACCGACAGGGCAGACUUCCUGGAAGAAGUGGGGACUGAAGCAAAUCUCACUGUGUCUCAAGGUCCAGACCGAUAGGUAGAAAGGAGCCUGGCCACCUUCCACUUGCCCAUCUGGAAAUGAAAGUGUUUCCCAACCUCACAGAAAGUGCAAGAGAGCAAGGCAUGAUGGGACUUCCAUGAUAGUGAACACACUGAUUGUUUAUACAGACCAGGCACAGUGCUAAGUGCUUUAUGUGAAUUAUCUCCUUUAAUCCCCCAAGAGCCCCAAGGGGUAGUCCAUAAACUUGGCCCCUUUAUGUUUUAAGAAACUGGGCUUUCUGAGAGAUAAAGUGGCCUUCCCAAGAUCUCAAAGCAACUAAGAGGAGGGGCCAGGAUUGAACCCUAGGCUCCUGUGCUAUAUACCCAAGCCAUAACCACUCUUGCCCAGGAAGAAAGCCCCAGGCUGGGAUCCAUACUCUCCUGCCAUCUCCAUGUGGCCAGCCCUCCUGGACAUUUCUCUGGUUCUCUCGGCUGAGGCAAACAGAAAGAAGAAAGACUUCCUUUCUGCCUAAGUCC
This 767-nucleotide long non-coding RNA is filed under the name Sus scrofa (pig). Its description in RNAcentral is "lncRNA (ENSSSCG00070006334.1)". Lineage: Eukaryota; Metazoa; Chordata; Mammalia; Artiodactyla; Suidae. The record is from RNAcentral.